This 1436-nucleotide ribosomal RNA is filed under the name Lactiplantibacillus plantarum. RNAcentral's name for it is "bacterial SSU rRNA". It matches the Rfam family "Bacterial small subunit ribosomal RNA". Lineage: Bacteria; Bacillati; Bacillota; Bacilli; Lactobacillales; Lactobacillaceae. The record is from RNAcentral.
AAGUCGAACGAACUCUGGUAUUGAUUGGUGCUUGCAUCAUGAUUUACAUUUGAGUGAGUGGCGAACUGGUGAGUAACACGUGGGAAACCUGCCCAGAAGCGGGGGAUAACACCUGGAAACAGAUGCUAAUACCGCAUAACAACUUGGACCGCAUGGUCCGAGCUUGAAAGAUGGCUUCGGCUAUCACUUUUGGAUGGUCCCGCGGCGUAUUAGCUAGAUGGUGGGGUAACGGCUCACCAUGGCAAUGAUACGUAGCCGACCUGAGAGGGUAAUCGGCCACAUUGGGACUGAGACACGGCCCAAACUCCUACGGGAGGCAGCAGUAGGGAAUCUUCCACAAUGGACGAAAGUCUGAUGGAGCAACGCCGCGUGAGUGAAGAAGGGUUUCGGCUCGUAAAACUCUGUUGUUAAAGAAGAACAUAUCUGAGAGUAACUGUUCAGGUAUUGACGGUAUUUAACCAGAAAGCCACGGCUAACUACGUGCCAGCAGCCGCGGUAAUACGUAGGUGGCAAGCGUUGUCCGGAUUUAUUGGGCGUAAAGCGAGCGCAGGCGGUUUUUUAAGUCUGAUGUGAAAGCCUUCGGCUCAACCGAAGAAGUGCAUCGGAAACUGGGAAACUUGAGUGCAGAAGAGGACAGUGGAACUCCAUGUGUAGCGGUGAAAUGCGUAGAUAUAUGGAAGAACACCAGUGGCGAAGGCGGCUGUCUGGUCUGUAACUGACGCUGAGGCUCGAAAGUAUGGGUAGCAAACAGGAUUAGAUACCCUGGUAGUCCAUACCGUAAACGAUGAAUGCUAAGUGUUGGAGGGUUUCCGCCCUUCAGUGCUGCAGCUAACGCAUUAAGCAUUCCGCCUGGGGAGUACGGCCGCAAGGCUGAAACUCAAAGGAAUUGACGGGGGCCCGCACAAGCGGUGGAGCAUGUGGUUUAAUUCGAAGCUACGCGAAGAACCUUACCAGGUCUUGACAUACUAUGCAAAUCUAAGAGAUUAGACGUUCCCUUCGGGGACAUGGAUACAGGUGGUGCAUGGUUGUCGUCAGCUCGUGUCGUGAGAUGUUGGGUUAAGUCCCGCAACGAGCGCAACCCUUAUUAUCAGUUGCCAGCAUUAAGUUGGGCACUCUGGUGAGACUGCCGGUGACAAACCGGAGGAAGGUGGGGAUGACGUCAAAUCAUCAUGCCCCUUAUGACCUGGGCUACACACGUGCUACAAUGGAUGGUACAACGAGUUGCGAACUCGCGAGAGUAAGCUAAUCUCUUAAAGCCAUUCUCAGUUCGGAUUGUAGGCUGCAACUCGCCUACAUGAAGUCGGAAUCGCUAGUAAUCGCGGAUCAGCAUGCCGCGGUGAAUACGUUCCCGGGCCUUGUACACACCGCCCGUCACACCAUGAGAGUUUGUAACACCCAAAGUCGGUGGGGUAACCUUUUAGGAACCAGCCGCCUAA